Molecule: ribosomal RNA, 437 nt
Filed under: Enterobacter cloacae subsp. cloacae
Lineage: Bacteria; Pseudomonadati; Pseudomonadota; Gammaproteobacteria; Enterobacterales; Enterobacteriaceae
Description: bacterial SSU rRNA
Rfam family: Bacterial small subunit ribosomal RNA
Source: RNAcentral
GGGAACUGUGAGACAGGUGCUGCAUGGCUGUCGUCAGCUCGUGUUGUGAAAUGUUGGGUUAAGUCCCGCAACGAGCGCAACCCUUAUCCUUUGUUGCCAGCGGUUAGGCCGGGAACUCAAAGGAGACUGCCAGUGAUAAACUGGAGGAAGGUGGGGAUGACGUCAAGUCAUCAUGGCCCUUACGACCAGGGCUACACACGUGCUACAAUGGCGCAUACAAAGAGAAGCGACCUCGCGAGAGCAAGCGGACCUCAUAAAGUGCGUCGUAGUCCGGAUUGGAGUCUGCAACUCGACUCCAUGAAGUCGGAAUCGCUAGUAAUCGUAGAUCAGAAUGCUACGGUGAAUACGUUCCCGGGCCUUGUACACACCGCCCGUCACACCAUGGGAGUGGGUUGCAAAAGAAGUAGGUAGCUUAACCUUCGGGAGGCGCUACCACU